CUGACGCCCGCAGCCAAUCAGAGAGCGUCGGCCGCGCCACGCCCCUCCUCUGUGCCGAGGACCCGGGCGAGGGCGCUGAGGCGCGGCCGGGGCUGCCGACGGAGGGCGGCUGGCGAGCGUCGUGGGGCGCGCUCCUCGGGUGGGAGCAUAGAAGUAGAGGACGCGCACAGGUGGCUGAGCAUACAAACUGAAGAAAAAAUUGAAAUGCCAUUUUAAAAACUUGAAAGUUAUGGAGUGGUAUUCAGAACAACAAUGCUAACAGAACAACAGUUGUUUCCUAUAAGCUGCAUCAAGGACAACUGAAAAUGAAAAAGCUACCAUCCGUGUAUAUAACUAAUUUGUGCUGUACACCAACAAGAACCUGCUUUACAUUUCCAUGUCAAUUUACAAUCCCCAUACUGUACCAGGCAAGAUUUGGCUUUUUCCACUGGAACAUUUGAAAGUCAAUUUUACAUCAGAGUGGAUCCACAUUGAAUAUUCCUGGCGGUUAUUUCCAACCUUUCCAUCAUUAUUUAGAGUGUAUCUUUCCAAAAAUUCUCUUUAGUCUAAUAAUAUUAGCUUUGCCAAUAAGUGGUUUCAUUUAUUAUACUCCAAUAGUGCUUUUUCUCUAUAUUAUUCGCUAUAUUAUACAAAAAAUUAUCUAUGUUUUUGUUAUUUAAAAUUAUGCAAAUGGCACAUCAAGAGAAUACUCAACAUUUUGUAUUUUGAAGAGAUGAUUGGUGAUCAGCAAUAUUUUGUGCCUUGUAGGGGUUACUGUGGCUUUAUCUGAUUCACGUGACUUCUAACUAUUAUCUUAUCUCUCUCCUGGAUGCAGAUACAUACGUAUACAGGAUCUAGUAAGACUGCUGUUGUGAAAAUGUAUUCUGGGUAUGUGGCCACAGUGUGAGUUGUAGGAUAGAGCAACCGGUGGAACAAGAUAACUGCUUGCCCCUGAAACAGCCCUGUUUAGGAAUGUUGACCAGGUUGUAGGGAACUCAACCAGUCCCUUUAAGUAGAAAGUAAAUAGAUUAGGAAAAUAGCCAUGAGGUUUGACACACCACCAGUGACUUUUUCCCCCUUUCCCUUUUAUUUUCAUGGUGUAAGAGAAUAGAGAGCAUGCAUUGCAAGAUCUGCCUUGUCUUGCUGCCACCCUGGACUGCCUCACAUGUAAGUUCCCCCUGAAUAAAUCUUUGAUGACCUCCCAGACUGGAGUGCUCCACCUCUUUCUUUGGUCUGAGCUUGCUCUCUGCUUAAAGAGGGC
This 1240-nucleotide long non-coding RNA is filed under the name Rhinopithecus bieti (black snub-nosed monkey). RNAcentral's name for it is "lncRNA (ENSRBIG00000045120.1)". The record is from RNAcentral. Lineage: Eukaryota; Metazoa; Chordata; Mammalia; Primates; Cercopithecidae.